UGGCCCUUAUGGGUAGGGCUUCACACGUCAUACAAUGGUCGGUACAGAGGGUUGCCAAGCCGCGAGGUGGAGCCAAUCCCUUAAAGCCGAUCGUAGUCCGGAUCGUAGUCUGCAACUCGACUACGUGAAGUCGGAAUCGCUAGUAAUCGCAGAUCAGCAUGCUGCGGUGAAUACGUUCCCGGGUCUU
RNAcentral lists this ribosomal RNA (187 nucleotides) under uncultured Thauera sp. Its description in RNAcentral is "partial 16S ribosomal RNA". It matches the Rfam family "Bacterial small subunit ribosomal RNA", at positions 1196 to 1382 of the family's 1533-position model. The record is from RNAcentral. Lineage: Bacteria; Pseudomonadati; Pseudomonadota; Betaproteobacteria; Rhodocyclales; Zoogloeaceae.